Molecule: transfer RNA, 66 nt
Filed under: Cricetulus griseus (Chinese hamster)
Lineage: Eukaryota; Metazoa; Chordata; Mammalia; Rodentia; Cricetidae
Rfam family: tRNA
About the family: Transfer RNA (tRNA) molecules are approximately 80 nucleotides in length. Their secondary structure includes four short double-helical elements and three loops (D, anti-codon, and T loops).
Source: Rfam by way of RNAcentral
UGUAGCUCAGUUGGUAGAGAGAGCGCUUGCCUGGCAUGCAUGAUACCCUGGGUUCAAUCCCUGGCA